UGCAUAUAUAAGCUAUCCCAUAAUUUUUGGGUAAUUAUUUGGAGUUGAAAAAGUAUUUUAUUUAAAUAGAUAUAUGGCCCUAAAGGCAUUUAUAGGGCAAAUGUAUUUUUAUAUAUUUUAUUUUGAAGAGAAACUACUUCCAAAAGUUGUAUCAUGGUAGAAUAUGAUUUUACAAAUUCUCUGGAAUUUAUUUGGACCAAUUUGGAGUUCAAACUCAAAAGAUAUCAAAGAAAUGAGAAAAACAGAAAAAGAAAAGGUCUAAAAGAGAAAAAUAAGGGUAAACCGGACCGGCUCGGCCACUUUGGGCCGAACCGGCCCAGUCCGACCGCGCC
RNAcentral lists this long non-coding RNA (332 nucleotides) under Brachypodium distachyon (stiff brome). Its description in RNAcentral is "long non-coding RNA (BDIS_LNC003817)". Lineage: Eukaryota; Viridiplantae; Streptophyta; Magnoliopsida; Poales; Poaceae. The record is from RNAcentral.